This 115-nucleotide non-coding RNA is filed under the name Fragilariopsis kerguelensis. The record is from RNAcentral. Lineage: Eukaryota; Bacillariophyta; Bacillariophyceae; Bacillariales; Bacillariaceae.
GAAAAUGGAUUCCUAAGCACACUGAUUACUUGGGAGGAGACGGCAGUGGCGAUUCUGACCACAACCACAAAUAUACACUCCCCCCACCCAUCUCGUCACGGACCGAGUUGUUUAA